RNAcentral lists this ribosomal RNA (301 nucleotides) under uncultured bacterium. RNAcentral describes it as "bacterial SSU rRNA". It matches the Rfam family "Bacterial small subunit ribosomal RNA", at positions 333 to 626 of the family's 1533-position model. The record is from RNAcentral.
GGGCACCUACGGGACGCAGCAGUAGGGAAUCUUCCACAAUGGACGAAAGUCUGAUGGAGCAACGCCGCGUGAGUGAAGAAGGGUUUCGGCUCGUAAAGCUCUGUUGGUAGUGAAGAAAGAUAGAGGUAGUAACUGGCCUUUAUUUGACGGUAAUUACUUAGAAAGUCACGGUUAACUACGUGCCAGCAGCCGCGGUAAUACGUAGGUGGCAAGCGUUGUCCGGAUUUAUUGGGCGUAAAGCGAGUGCAGGCGGUUCAAUGAAUCUGAUGUGAAAGACUUCGGCUCAACCGGAGAAUUGCAU